AUUCCAUAGAACAUCGUCAAAUCUUUUGCUUGGGUUCAACUUUUUGCUAUUUUUGAUAUCAAUAGUGAACAUCAAUAUUCAAUUGAAACCCUAACUUGAAAGACGAAACCCCGAUUAAUUUAUGAAGGACGAUAAGCCCUAACUUUCUCUCUCCUUUGAGACGUAGCCACCAGAGCCGCGCCGUUCAUUUGCCCGACGAGAAUCGUGCUGUGAGAUAUAGCUGUCGAAGAGCGCUUCGAUAACAUCCAUUUGACGCUGGUUUGGCUUCCGAAGAUGUCGGCUUGCAGAACUACUUCCAGACUCUGACGCUAUAUAUGUUUGACGAUUGGUCCUAGGAAGCUGCUGCUGCUACCACAUUAAAGACUCGUUAAGGUGGUAUAUGGUGUUUAGGCGGAGCGAGAUGAUGAUAAUUAUGGAAGAGACGAGCUACCAACGCAUAGAUCUGGAACUCUCGAUGCCUGAUUUUACAUGGUUGCACCAGGGUAAAUGUGCACUAGCCAUCAGUGGCAAUUUUGUUUGUCGUUUGGUUUGCUAUUCUUGAACUUCAAUUCGCCGAGAAGAACACUACUACUUUUCCUGCUGCUUUCUGGGUAACCAAUCUAUUGCAGGUAACCAAUCUAUUGCCGAGGUUACAGAACCUUUUACUGGUCUCUUAAACAUUUCCUGCUGCUUUCUGGGUAACCAAUCUAUUGCAGGUAACCAAUCUAUUGCCGAGGUUACAGAACCUUUUACUGGUCUCUUAAACAUUUCCUGCUGCUUUCUGGAUAUGUCAAGACCGCACCACGUGCUACAGAGUUGCUUGAUGUGCGUAGAGAUCAAAAGCUCGAAAUGGUCAAGGAAUUUGAGUGAGAGAGUAAGCUUGUUAAAAAGAUUUCAGAGGUUAUGAUAUGGAUAUCAGAACAAGACAAUGCUUGCUUAACGCUCUUCCUGGAAAGGCGGGGAAAAGAAUGGACACCCUUACGGUGGCAGAAAAGACAGUGUAAUUAAACAUGUUGGAGGAGGGGAUUAUUAACCAUCCCAUUGUUAGUAUUGGAGAAUUUGGGCGGAAGUCCAAUGAAGUGAGGAUUCUUCUAGCUAAAAUCGAGGAAUCUGAGGUGUGUGUUCUUUGGCUGAAAUAAGCAAGCUAGAAGGAAUAAUUUUCUGGAGAAUGCUGCAUACUUCUCUACACUCUGAUCUGAACUGCUGCUGCUGUUUACUGCUCUGCUUACUUCUGCUGCAUACUGCUCUGCACUCUGAUUUGAACUGCUGCUGCUAUGUUGCAUCACUUAUGCGUCACCAAAAUGGCUGCUUCUUUCUUUGAUGAUGUUCGUCUCUUUUAAGAUGAGAGUUAUUAUGUUCUUGACCGUACCUUGGAUUUUGGGCUACUACUCAAGACGGUGCUUGCUGAUCUGUUUCUUGUUCCACUGGGCAUAAAUUAUGUUCUCUUAGUUGCAUAUACUAUCGUAUUGCUGCAGAUGAGGACCUAUCUAUUUAUUUGGAGUGUCUUCUUUCCUGAGUAAGUAAUUUAUGAGUAAUGGAUAUAGAAUAAGAAAUUACGACCAAGGUACACACUGGACCAGAAAAAUAAAAAUAAAUAUAAUAAAGCACCAGCACCUAGCUUGUAUUUCCAGGUACACAAGAAAGUGACUUCUUAUAUUUUUACGUUCUCCUUCUGCUUUAAGAUGGCGCGUGUAGUAUUUCUUUACUAUAUGAAUGUAGUACUAAAAUGUUGCUACCAUGGUAGUUCUCCUUUGGUAGCAUGGUAUUUCUUUAUGUGAAAGAAAGGAACUCGGAAUAAAAAGUCACAUACACUAUUAUAUUGAUUAAUUAUGCUAGUGUCUAAUCUUCGAUUUUUGGUUAAUAAAAUUACCUAUUUACUAAAAUACAAAUAACUAAUGACUUUCUUUUUUUGUGUAUAAUCUUACGGUUGGGAGCGAAAUAAAUCAUUUUAGUCAAAAUAUGACCUGUAAUGAUCAUACGAGCCUUAAAUGUGCAUAACUUGACCGAAGUAGGUGAGAGUGAGUCUUAGAAACAUUAAACCAAGUCUAAUAAACAUGGGUUUAAACUACUUAUUAUUUAGGUUCAUUAGUUGAAAGUUGUGAGCGAAAUAAGCCAUUUUAGUCAAAAUAUGACCUUUACUGAUCAAACGAGUCUUAAAUGUGCAUAAAGUAGGUGAAAAUGAGUCUUAGAAACAUUAAACUCAAUAUAUUUAAAAUGAGUCUUAUAUUUAUUUAGGUUCAUUAGGUGAAAAUGAGCGAAAAAGACCAUUUUAGACCAAAAUAUGACCUAUACUUGUGAGAAGCUGCUUCUGUCAAACAAAGUCCUUAGAUAUUUAGGCAUCUAGAAUAUGGAGUAAUGUUGUUAGAUGGUGUUGGGGAACAUAGAAGGACACCAGCUAAGUCAAUAAUGGGUUCCCAUAGUUAUAAUAUUUUUACAAACGAGGAGAAGUUUAUCAAAGCAGCUCAGAGUUGCAGCGUGGUGUUUCUGGGAUGGUGUGGUGGAGAUGGUGGCUGGGGAGGUUUGGCAAUGUGAAGCUUCCAGAAGGGGUAUCAUUUGUAAUUAGCCCAUUCAUUGGCAGAGUCUCAGAAAGCUAUAACUGUUGCCACAAAUUACAACAAUCGUGUUGUUGAAUGCAGACUUGCUGCUAUUCUGUUGGGUAUCAAACUCGGAAUGAACCCAAAAGAGGCAGCAUCCAAUGUCAAAACACUUUCUGAUGUUGAAGGCCUCUGUAUGUCCUUUGCUUGCAGUCAUGGCUCCACUGAUUACGGGAUAUCAAAUGUGCCAACAUAUUGGUGGCUUCAAAUGGAACAGUAAAAUUAGCAGAUUUUGGAUUGACGAAGAUCAGAGAGGAAGAUUGGCAUUUUCAACCGAAAGAUUUUAUCUCGAUCUACUAAACAAAAGAUCAAUGCAGUGGGGUGUGAUCCCAAGGCUAACGACAUGGGAUAUGGAGGAGAUUAGAAAAGCCAAGGAAGUGAAGCUA
Spinacia oleracea (spinach) is the source of this 2959-nucleotide RNA transcript. RefSeq lists it as uncharacterized. The record is from RefSeq and is a predicted model, not a curated record. NCBI's taxonomy places the organism in Eukaryota, Viridiplantae, Streptophyta, Magnoliopsida, Caryophyllales, Amaranthaceae. The transcript has 11 exons.